This is a long non-coding RNA of Dalotia coriaria, 4784 nucleotides long. RefSeq lists it as uncharacterized. Lineage: Eukaryota; Metazoa; Arthropoda; Insecta; Coleoptera; Staphylinidae. The record is from RefSeq and is a predicted model, not a curated record. The transcript is spliced from 2 exons.
UAAAUCUUUUAUCUUAAAUACAUUCAUCAACUUUGAUUUCGAAUCUAUAAUAUGAUUUACAUUUUUGGACAGUAUUAGGAUGUCAUCAACAUACGUUACAAUUAUAGUUAAUUCAUUUUCAAUAGUUUGGAAAUAUAGACAUGGAUCGGCUUUCAGAGACUCAUAUUUCUUUCGCAUUGCUUGGACCCAUUCGUUGCUCAUUUCGUCAUCUAAGGCAUCUUUGAAUGUGCUGGGUUCUUCAAUUGUUGCGUUGCAAACAAAAUCGUUCCAUGUUUUUGGACAUGGCUUUCUUUUAGAUCUUCUUUCUCCUUCUUUAUCUGGAUGUUCAUCAUCAUUUGUGUCUGCAUCUUCGGAAUAGGAAUCUGGUACGUAGUCGCUGUCUGAGUCGACUUUUUCUGUUACCUCUAUUUCGUCGUCGUCCUGUUGUUCAUCAGGUUCGGCAUUUUCAUCUGUGAUUGAGUCGUCUGGUGCUUGUCGAUCUUCUUUGGGUUGAUCUUCUCGUUUUUGUUGGAGGCUGAACUCGAAGGUGUCAUCCUUAUCGUUGCUACAUUUAUUUGUAUUGAAGACCCCUUCAAUGAAGCUAACAUCACGGCUGACAACGAUUUUCCGUUCUUCUUCUAACCAAAUUCUAUAGGCUUUGCUUUCUUCGCUAUAGCCAACGAAUGUUCCAAGAGUCGAUUUCGUCUCCAACUUGGUUCGAUUUGGUUUUUUAUUUAGAACGUAGGCUUUGGAACCAUAAAUCCUCAGGUGUGUUACUACCGGUUUUCUUCCAAACCAGAUUUGGAAUGGUGUAAUAGGAUGGGUAGUAUUUGAUACACAUCUGUUCCGUAUGUAGUUAGCUGUCACAACGGCCUCUGCCCAAAAGGUUUCUGGACAUUUUGAUUGUAUCAGCAUACAUCUGGCCAUCUCAAUUAAUGUGCGGUUUUUGCGUUCAGCUAAUCCGUUUUGCUGUGGUGUGUAAGGGGCGGUAAGUCUUCGUUGUAUGCCAUGUUGCGACAAAUAGUCAUUCAUCUGUUUGUUAACGAAUUCUAAUCCAUUAUCAGAUUGAAGAUAUUUCAGUUUCUUACCAGAAACUUUUACAACUGUGUAUCGUGAUUUUUGGUCAGUAAAUGUGACCAUGUAUCGUGAACCUCCAUUCGAGACAGUAGUCAUGGGGCCACACACGUCUGUAUGAACAUACUCUAGUAGUUCAUUUGCUUUGUUGCUGGAUGCUUUUGGAAAUUCUUUCCUUGUCAUUUUUCCUUGGGUACAAACUUCACAAAUGGGAUUUUCGCUUGUUAUUUUCAAUGGUUUAGGAUUCACUCCUAUUACAGAUUCUUGGGCAAUCAUGUCUUUCAAUGCUCUUGCAUUUAGAUGGCCGAAUCUGUUAUGCCAUAGUUUGAAAAUUUCAUCGCUCUUGGCGUCUGUGAAGUUGGCAUAGUCGUUCGAUUGAUUUCUCACCACAUAUAGGUCGUCUUUUCUAUCUGCAACCGUAGUAAGUGCACCUUGUUUAUUCCGAACGAUGGCCUUGUGUUUGUAGAAGGUUACUUCGUACCCCUUAUCUGUAAUUUUGGAAACAGACAUUAAGUUUAAGUUCAGGUUUGGAACGUACAGCGUAUUUGGUAAAUCACAAAUUUUGUUUGUUGGUCCGAUGUCAGCAUUUAUCUGGAGAGAGCCUAUUCCUUCAGAUUUGGAAUUGCUUUCGUUCGCCAUGUUGACAUUCUUAACGGAUGACUUCAAAUCAUAGAAAACUUCCUUUGAGUUGCACAUAUGAGAGGUACAUCCACUGUCUAAGAUCCACUCAUUUCUGGAUAUGCCUUCUUUCACAGAAGUACAUUGUUCAUUGACAUAAUAAGACUCUUGUUUAUUCUUAUUGAACCAACAAUCCGCUAUUACGUGACCUUUCUUCUUACACUUUUGACAAGUUUUUGUCUUUCUGUUCUCAUUAGUCGCCUUGGACUUCGAGUUGUUGUAUGUAUUGUUCUUUGGUUUUCUCCAAGCAGCCAUCGCACUCGACGUUGAUGGGUCGUUGUUUCUGUCGCGACGAGAGUCGGAUUCCUCUAUGAUUUUCACUUUCAAGUUUUCUAUCGUAGGUAGCGCGUCUCGGCUCUCUAUGGCGAUGCGGAAGUUGUCGAAAGACUCAGGUAGACUGUACAGCAUGAUGAUUUUCAGCAAUUCCUCGUUGAUGUCGAGUUCCAUGUCUUGCAGCUUGUCCACGGUGUCUGCGAGCUUCGCUAGAUGCACGCGCAGAUCUUCGCCCUCAGACAUUUUUGCGAACAGUAGUUGUUUCAAGAGGUUGGCCUUUUUGCAGGUCCUCGUGGCUCGUGAAUUGCAGAUAACUUGCUCCAAACUUCUCUAGAAGUUUUGCGAUGUUUAAUUUCACGCAAUUCGGAAACAUUAAUUGAAAGAAUUAAAUCGGACUUAGCUUUUGCAUCGUUGCUGUCCCACGCAGCGACUUCGGCGAUGGUUUUCGGUGUGUCCGGGUCUAGCGUUGGUCUUUCGUUAGUUCCAUUGACGUAUUCCCAUCCACCGGUUUUUAUGAGGAGUGCUUCAGCCUGGAUUUUCCACGUGUCGUAGUUGGCCUUAUCGAGCAGUUGGAUUCUCGUUGUUGCAUUCAUUUUUCACUUAACUUUAUUUUUCGCAAGAAAUAUUGUUUGUAACUUAUCUUUACUAUAUUGGCGAUUGGCCUGGGCCCAUAACCUGUUAAGGAUAUGGUCGGAUCGUUAAAGUAAAGACAGAUUUCGUAUAUCAAAAUGUUAUUUCUUAGAAGCGUGUGUAUUCGACUGUACUAUUGUAUUUAUUCAUUGUAUGCAACCAUGCGUCUGGAAUAUUCCAUGGAACUUCUGGGCCUUGUGUCGCUGUUAAACAGCACCAUUUUGCGUUUCGCUCUGUGGCAUUAGCACCAUCUCCUCGUUCCUUGUAUAUUUGGAACUUGAAUACGUAUGCUGCUCCCAUCUGUGCGGUUGAUUCGCAUGAUGCUGAUACAGGUUGCAUGGUCCUUUGUGUCCAUUGUUUUCCUCUCCACCCUGCUAGAUUGUGUGUUACACACGAUCCGGCCGGUCUUCCCAUGCGGAAGUUCGGGAUCGGGUUGUUGUCGUCCAUUGUUAGUGCCAUCACAAUAUCGGCUGCAACGCCUAAGGAUGGAACUUCUUCAAAGAGAUUGUGGCUGUCCACGGUUAUGUUUGGUGAAUGAUAUCCACCUAACCCUUGUGCCACGGCAACUGGUAGCUCAGGAAUUUCAAUAUAUAUUCAAUAUAUAUUCCACAUCAACAAAAAUCAUCUACACGAUAAAUACUUAAAUAUUAAAGAAAACAUCCAGAUAUACAAACACAAAAUCAAACAACUGCUAAACGAACAAAUAAACUCCAUACACGACUUUUUAAAAUACUUAACAAACUCCGCAUACCCACAACACACGAUAACACACCAUAACAUAAACACUUAACACGCAGAACACCCCUAAUAUACAAGACAAGUUUUUUCAGGGCGAAACAUGUAAAACUCAAAAAUACAACUGUAAAUUCAAAAUCACGUAAAUUUUAAUAAAUAAAUAUAUUUUUAUACAUGCACAACAUGGAUUACGUAUUCGACAUCGAGAGUAAUAAAAUCAAACCACUUAAUAAACUCCACAUACCACAGCACAUAACGAUAACAUAAACAUUUAACACACAAAACACCCUCUAAACACAAAAUCAAAUUAGUGACUGAAGCGAAAUAUGUCUACCUCAGAAACAUUUUUGUAAUAACUUAAACAUGGAUUACGUAUUCGAAAAAGAAAAUAAAAUGAAAUAAAGUUUUCUUAUACUUACAGCAUGUUUAAAUUGUUCUGAAGUUCUGAAGAUCAGUAAAAGUUGUGUGGCCGGGGUUGUGAUUCAAAACUCACUGACCGCUCCGCUUUUUUUAUGCCAACUAUCACCCGAAAAAGUAGAUAAAGUUGUAGGAGGAGGAUACACGUUGUUGUGUGUAUCGCAAAUAUGAAAAAAUGAUACGAAGAAGCCAUAAAUUCGACGCAGUCCAUAUUCUAAAUCUAGUACGUAACGUACGAAGUGAACACAGAAUUAGACCAUUAAUCUGUCUACCUAUUGUAAUACUCGUCACUCUCGGUUUGAUUAUGGUCCUGCUGUCAUUCUCAUCGUGGAGCUCCAGUAAGCAUCUUAUCCGUUUGCGGAGGGUAUCGUUCGGCGUGUUGGUAAGUAUCGUUCCGUAUGUUUUUAUUUGUCGUUUUUGGUAUCACUCUUUGUUUUUCAGGAAAUCGUGCUGGAUGUUUAGAAGAUCAGGGAGAGAAUCUUUCCGCCAGCUGCUUAUAUAUGCCUUUUUUCACCUGUUCCGGUUUGUUGUAUAGAUUAUUGAUUUUCCGCUAGGUUUGCUAGUGGAUCUACGAUAGUCCAUCGCUGUGUCGCGCGAUCUCGUGGACUAUGGUGUCCUUAAGAACAUUUGCGCGGGAGGUUGAGAAGAUGUUUUCCUCGAUUUUCUUGAACCAACGUUUUUUUGUAGGUUUAUUUUUACAGAUCGCUUUCUUUUAAGGCUUGUCCACUGCAACGAUUGCCAGAUCGUCCGCAUAUACUAUGAGGGAUACCUCGGGUUUUACAGUACCUUGUAAGUGCCAUUCUGUUGAUGCCCAUUGAAGAAGUUUUCGGAGUUUACGAGUACACAUACCAAGGAAUCUACAGCAUCCGUCGCCGCGGAGAGAUGCGCGUGAUUCAAGGUAAGUUUUACUUUUAGAAAAGCCGUUCAUGAUUUUAGAUAUAUUAAAAAAUGUAUGUGUUUUUCAAUGUUGUCAAUAAAAUAAAAUGUAAUAUUAUAAA